This 493-nucleotide ribosomal RNA is filed under the name uncultured bacterium. RNAcentral describes it as "partial 16S ribosomal RNA". It matches the Rfam family "Bacterial small subunit ribosomal RNA", at positions 28 to 506 of the family's 1533-position model. The record is from RNAcentral.
GACGAACGCUGGCGGCGUGCUUAACACAUGCAAGUCGAACGGAAAGGCCUGCUUUCCCUUGUGGAUUGCGGGUACUCGAGUGGCGAACGGGUGAGUAACACGUGAGUGAUCUGCCCCCAACUUGGGUAUAAGCCUGGGAAACUGGGUCUAAUUCCCGAUAGGACUGCAGGGUGGUGCCUGUGGUGGAAAACGAUUUUCUAGUGGUUGGGGAUGAGCUCGCGGCCUAUCAGCUUGUUGGUGGGGUAAUGGCCUACCAAGGCGGCGACGGGUAGCCGGCCUGAGAGGGUGGACGGCCACAUUGGGACUGAGAUACGGCCCAGACUCCUACGGGAGGCAGCAGUGGGGAAUAUUGCGCAAUGGGCGGAAGCCUGAUGCAGCGACGCCGCGUGGGGGAUGACGGCCUUCGGGUUGUAAACUCCUUUCGACCGCGAGGAAGCCACCUGGUUGGAAGGGUGGUGACGGUAGUGGUAGAAGAAGCACCGGCUAACUACGU